UACGGAGGAUCCAAGCGUUAUCCGGAAUCAUUGGGUUUAAAGGGUCCGUAGGCGGUCUUAUAAGUCAGUGGUGAAAUCUCCCCGCUCAACGGGGAAACGGCCAUUGAUACUGUAGGACUUGAAUUAUUAGGAAGUAACUAGAAUAUGUAGUGUAGCGGUGAAAUGCUUAGAGAUUACAUGGAAUACCAAUUGCGAAGGCAGGUUACUACUAAUGGAUUGACGCUGAUGGACGAAAGCGUGGGUAGCGAACAGGAUUAGAUACCCUGGUAGUCAAGGGCG
Molecule: ribosomal RNA, 279 nt
Filed under: uncultured Flavobacteriales bacterium
Lineage: Bacteria; Pseudomonadati; Bacteroidota; Flavobacteriia; Flavobacteriales
Description: partial 16S ribosomal RNA
Rfam family: Bacterial small subunit ribosomal RNA
Source: RNAcentral